This 480-nucleotide ribosomal RNA is filed under the name uncultured bacterium. Its description in RNAcentral is "partial 16S ribosomal RNA". It matches the Rfam family "Bacterial small subunit ribosomal RNA", at positions 28 to 507 of the family's 1533-position model. The record is from RNAcentral.
GACGAACGCUGGCGGCGCGCUUAACACAUGCAAGUCGAGCGAUGAAACUCUAACAGAACCCUUCGGGGCGAAGAAAAGGUGGAUUAGCGGCGGACGGGUGAGUAACACGUGAGUAACCUGCCUUAGACAUUGGGAUAGCCUCGGGAAACCGGGAUUAAUACCAACUAAAAUCAGAAUGACACAUGUCAUAACGAGCAAAACUCCGGUGGUCUAAGAUGGACUCGCGUCCCAUUAGCUAGUUGGUAGAGUAAAAGCCUACCAAGGCGACGAUGGGUAGCCGGCCUGGGAGGGUGAACGGCCACAUUGGAACUGAGAAACGGUCCAAACUCCUACGGGAGGCAGCAGUGGGGAAUAUUGCACAGUGGAGGGAACUCUGAUGCAGCGACGCCGCGUGAACGAAGAAGGCUUUCGAGUCGUAAAGUUCUUUUAUAUGGGAAGAUAAUGACGGUACCAUAAGAAAAAGCCCCGGCUAACUACGUG